Molecule: ribosomal RNA, 492 nt
Filed under: uncultured bacterium
Lineage: Bacteria
Description: bacterial SSU rRNA
Rfam family: Bacterial small subunit ribosomal RNA
Source: RNAcentral
GAACGCUAGCGACAGGCCUAACACAUGCAAGUCGAGGGCGAGCACAAGAGCAAUCUGAGGUGGCGACCGGCGCACGGGUGAGUAACACGUAUGCAACCUGCCUGUAAGCGGGGAAGUAACCCGUUGAAAGACGGACUAAUACCGCAUAAUACUAAAUACUGCAUGGUAAUUAUUUAAACAUUUAUGGCUUACAGAUGGGCAUGCGCAUGAUUAGCUAGUUGGAGAGGUAACGGCUCCCCAAGGCAACGAUCAUUAGGGGUUCUGAGAGGAAGGUCCCCCCACACUGGUACUGAGACACGGACCAGACUCCUACGGGAGGCAGCAGUGAGGAAUAUUGGUCAAUGGACGAGAGUCUGAACCAGCCAAGUCGCGUGCAGGAAGAAUUGUCCUAUGGAUUGUAAACUGCUUUUGCAGGGGAAUAAAGUGCAUCACGUGUGAUGUUUUGUAUGUACUCUGCGAAUAAGGAUCGGCUAACUCCGUGCCAGCCGCCGC